AGGGCUAUAGCUCAGUGGUAGAGCACCUCGUUUACACCGAGAACGUCUACGGUUCAAAUCCGUAUAGCCCUA
Molecule: transfer RNA, 72 nt
Filed under: Radula japonica
Lineage: Eukaryota; Viridiplantae; Streptophyta; Jungermanniopsida; Radulales; Radulaceae
Description: tRNA-Val
Rfam family: tRNA
About the family: Transfer RNA (tRNA) molecules are approximately 80 nucleotides in length. Their secondary structure includes four short double-helical elements and three loops (D, anti-codon, and T loops).
Source: RNAcentral